Molecule: ribosomal RNA, 244 nt
Filed under: uncultured bacterium
Lineage: Bacteria
Description: partial 16S ribosomal RNA
Rfam family: Bacterial small subunit ribosomal RNA
Source: RNAcentral
GAUCCUGGCUCAGAUUGAACGCUGGCGGCAGGCCUAACACAUGCAAGUCGAACGGUAACAGGAAGCAGCUUGCUGCUUCGCUGACGAGUGGCGGACGGGUGAGUAAUGUCUGGGAAACUGCCUGAUGGAGGGGGAUAACUACUGGAAACGGUAGCUAAUACCGCAUAACGUCGCAAGACCAAAAGAGGGGGGACCUUCGGACCUCUUGCCAUCGGAUGUGCCCAGAUGGGAUUAGCUAGUAGGG